GGCGCCAUAGCCAAGCGGUAAGGCAUGGGUCUGCAAAACCCUGAUCGCCGGUUCGAAUCCGGCUGGCGCCU
Molecule: transfer RNA, 71 nt
Filed under: Chloroflexota bacterium
Lineage: Bacteria; Bacillati; Chloroflexota
Also listed under: 3 other names
Description: tRNA-Cys
Rfam family: tRNA
About the family: Transfer RNA (tRNA) molecules are approximately 80 nucleotides in length. Their secondary structure includes four short double-helical elements and three loops (D, anti-codon, and T loops).
Source: RNAcentral